AGAGGUUUAGGUUAAAAAUAGACCAAGGGCCUUCAAAGCCCUAAGCGAGGGUGAAAAUCCCCCAACCCCUG
RNAcentral lists this transfer RNA (71 nucleotides) under Trachinus draco (greater weever). RNAcentral's name for it is "tRNA-Trp". It matches the Rfam family "tRNA". Rfam says of the family: Transfer RNA (tRNA) molecules are approximately 80 nucleotides in length. Lineage: Eukaryota; Metazoa; Chordata; Actinopteri; Perciformes; Trachinidae. The record is from RNAcentral.